RNAcentral lists this ribosomal RNA (530 nucleotides) under uncultured bacterium. RNAcentral's name for it is "bacterial SSU rRNA". It matches the Rfam family "Bacterial small subunit ribosomal RNA", at positions 977 to 1509 of the family's 1533-position model. The record is from RNAcentral.
GGCCUUGACAUACUAAGAACUUUCCAGAGAUGGAUUGGUGCCUUCGGGAACUUAGAUACAGGUGCUGCAUGGCUGUCGUCAGCUCGUGUCGUGAGAUGUUGGGUUAAGUCCGCAACGAGCGCAACCUUUCCUUAUUUGCCAGCGGGUAAUGCCGGGAACUUUAAGGAUACUGCCAGUGACAAACUGGAGGAAGGCGGGGACGACGUCAAGUCAUCAUGGCCCUUACGGCCAGGGCUACACACGUGCUACAAUGGUCGGUACAAAGGGUUGCUACCUCGCGAGAGGAUGCUAAUCUCAAAAAGCCGAUCGUAGUCCGGAUCGCAGUCUGCAACUCGACUGCGUGAAGUCGGAAUCGCUAGUAAUCGCGGAUCAGAAUGCCGCGGUGAAUACGUUCCCGGGCCUUGUACACACCGCCCGUCACACCAUGGGAGUUUGUUGCACCAGAAGUAGGUAGUCUAACCGCAAGGAGGACGCUUACCACGGUGUGGCCGAUGACUGGGGUGAAGUCGUAACAAGGUAAGCGUAGAUGA